GCCCGGGUAGCUCAAUCGGUAGAGCGUGUGGCUCUUAUAACUGGAAUAUCUGAUUAUUCUAUCACUAGAACACCUCAAGGUCGUGGGUUCGAGCCCCACCUCGGGCU
Molecule: non-coding RNA, 107 nt
Organism: Cadophora gregata
Lineage: Eukaryota; Fungi; Ascomycota; Leotiomycetes; Helotiales; Ploettnerulaceae
Source: the annotation of a RefSeq genome assembly